RNAcentral lists this ribosomal RNA (385 nucleotides) under uncultured bacterium. RNAcentral's name for it is "bacterial SSU rRNA". It matches the Rfam family "Bacterial small subunit ribosomal RNA", at positions 30 to 414 of the family's 1533-position model. The record is from RNAcentral.
AUUGAACGCUGGCGGCAUGCCUUACACAUGCAAGUCGAACGGCAGCAUGGGUGCUUGCACCUGAUGGCGAGUGGCGAACGGGUGAGUAAUGCAUCGGAACGUACCCGGAAGUGGGGGAUAACGUAGCGAAAGUUACGCUAAUACCGCAUAUUCUGUGAGCAGGAAAGCGGGGGAUCGCAAGACCUCGCGCUUCCGGAGCGGCCGAUGUCGGAUUAGCUAGUUGGCGGGGUAAAGGCCCACCAAGGCAACGAUCCGUAGCUGGUCUGAGAGGAUGAUCAGCCACACUGGAACUGAGACACGGUCCAGACUCCUACGGGAGGCAGCAGUGGGGAAUAUUGGACAAUGGCGCAAGCCUGAUCCAGCAAUGCCGCGUGUGUGAAGAAGG